Molecule: small nucleolar RNA, 72 nt
Filed under: Notechis scutatus (mainland tiger snake)
Lineage: Eukaryota; Metazoa; Chordata; Lepidosauria; Squamata; Elapidae
Description: Small nucleolar RNA SNORD45 (ENSNSUG00000007608.1)
Rfam family: Small nucleolar RNA SNORD45
About the family: U45 belongs to the C/D class of snoRNA which contain the C (UGAUGA) and D (CUGA) box motifs. Most of the members of the box C/D family function in directing site-specific 2'-O-methylation of substrate RNAs.
Source: Rfam by way of RNAcentral
GGUCAAUGAUGUAAUCUGGCAUGUAUUAUCUGACUUCAGCUGUAGAAGUCUUUAGAAUGAUACUGAGACCUA